Molecule: long non-coding RNA, 3723 nt
Filed under: Sus scrofa (pig)
Lineage: Eukaryota; Metazoa; Chordata; Mammalia; Artiodactyla; Suidae
Description: lncRNA (ENSSSCG00000058232.1)
Source: RNAcentral
CAGGCUAGGGGUCAAUUGAGCUGUAGCUGCCGGCCUACACCACAGCCACAGCAACGUAGGAUCUGAGCCACAUCUUUGACCUACACCACAGCUCAUGGCAACACCAGAUCCUUAACCCACUGAGCGAGGCCAGGGAUCGAACCCACAUUCUCAUGGAUACUAGUCAGGUUCGUUAACCACUGAGCCACGAUGGGAACUCAAAAUUCACCACAUACUCUCAAUUUUUUAAAAAAAUUGUAAAUAAAAUUGGAGUAAGUGGAUAGUUUCUAAAUAUAUUAUGCCAAAAAUCAACAUAUCAUGCUCAAUGUGAAAUGCUGAGAACAUUUUCAUCAAAGUCAAGAAUAAUUCUAGGGGCACAUUAGGCACACUGGAUAAGAAAAGAAGUGAGGGGUAUAAAUAAGAAAGAAGGAGGCAAAACUGUCAUUUUUGUGAACAUUAAGUUCAAGAUCAUCUAGAAACUAUUAAAACCAAUUAGAGAAUUUAGUAUGGCUGCUGAAUAGAGACCAAUACAUGCAAAACUUCAACAAUUACGUGAAAGAUGUGAGUUUUAAAUACGUGAUUUCAAAGAAGAGCAUGAAAGUAUGUUCAACAUCAUUAGCCCCCAGGGAAGUGGAAAUUAAAAUGAUGAUAGAUAGUGGAGUUCCCAUCGUGGUUCAGUGGUAACAAACCCAACUUGUAUCCAUGAAGACUCUGGUUCAAUCCCUGACCUCGCUCAGUGGGUUAAUGGUCCAGCGGCAUUGCCGUAAGCUGGGGUGUAGGUCACAGACAUAACUCGGAUCCCACAUGUCUGUGGCUGUGGUGUGGGCAGGCCCUACAGCUCCAAUUCAACCCCUAGCCUGGGAACCUCCAUAUGCAGUGGGUUCGGGCCUAAAAAGACAAAAAUAAAUAAAUAAAUAAUACUGGCGGGAGUGAAAAAUGAUGCAGCCACUCUGGAAAACAAAUGGCAGCUGCUUAAAAAGUUAAACAUACGCUCACCAUAUACCCUGUAAAUGUACUCCUGUGCAUUUAUGCUAGAGAAAUGAAAACACGUUCACAGAAAAACUUGUAUGGGCAUGCAUGUUCAUAGCAGCUUUGUUUGUAAUCUCCCCAAACUGGAAACAACCCUUCCAUGGGUGAGUGGUUAAACAAAAGGAAAAUAUUCAUCAGUAAGAAAGAACAAACUGGGGUUUCUGCUGUGGCGUGUUGGGUUAAGAAUCUGACUGCAGGAGUUCCCGUCAUGGUGCAGCAGAAACAAAUCCAACUAGGAACCAUGAGGACAAAGGUUCGAUCCCUGGCCUCACUCAGUGGGUUAGGGAUCCGGCAUUGCCAUGAGCUGUGAUGUAGGUUGCAGAUGCGGCUCAGAUCUGGCGUGUCGGUGGCUGUGGUAUAGGCCAGUAGCUGUAGCUCCGAUUCCACCCCUAGCCUGGGAACUUCCAUAUGCCACAGGUACAGCCCCAAACCAGCAAAAACAACAACAACAAAAACCCAACUGGUAUCCAUGAGGAUGCAGGUUCAAUCCCUGGCCUCACUCAGUGGGUUAGGAUCUGGCAUUGCUGUAAAUGCAGUGUAGAUCACAGAUAGGGCUCGGAUCUGGCAUUGCUGUGGCUGUGGCAUAAGCUGGCAGCUGUAACUCCAGUAUUUUGUCUUGUUUUUGUUUUCCUUUGUGGGUAGAUUUUUAACUUCUGAUUCAACUUGUCAAAGUAUUUAAGUUUUCUAUUCCUUAAAUCGGUUUUAGUAAGACAUACUUUGUCCUAAGAAAAUUUUUUAUUUCCCCUGGGCAUGUUAGCUGUGUAUUGCUGCAUAACAAUUACUCCAAUAAAACUUCAACAGUCCCAAUCAAAAUCCUAGCAAAUUAUUUUAUGGAUAUCAAUAAACUAAUUCUAAAGUUUGUAUGGCAAAGACCCAGAACAGCCACCACAAAAAGAACAACGUUGGAAGAUUGGCACUACUUUACUACAAGACUUACUGUAAAGCUAGAAUAAUCAAGACAGUGUCACGUUGGCAAAAGAAGAGACAGAUCAAUGGAACAGAAUAGAGAGGCCCAAAAUAGGUCCAUGUAAGUAGGGUUAACUGAUCCUUUGACAAAGGAACAGAGGCAAUACAAUGGAAAAGAGAUAAGAUAGCCAUCUGAAAAGUGAUGCUGGAACAAUGGACAGCCGCAUGGCAAAAAAAUGAAUCUAGACAUAGAUUUACACCCUUUGAAAAAAUUGACCCAAAAUGGAUCAUAGGGAAUUCCCUUCAUGGCUCAGUGGUUAAUGAACCCGAUUAACCUAGGAUCUAUGAGGAUUCAGGUUCAAUCCCUGGCCUUGCUCGGUGGGUUAAGGAUCUGGCAUUGCCAUGAGCUGUGGUAUAGGUCUCACACUCAGCUCUGAUCCCACGUUGCUGUGGCUGUGGUGUAAGCUGGCAGCUGUAGCUCCAAUUUGACCCCUAGCCUGGGAAUUUCCGUAUGCUGCAGGUGUGGCCCUAAAAACAAAAUAGCAAAAAACUCUCUCUGAUGAUAGUAGUGGACUUGUGCAUUUUUUUCUUAAAAUUCUGUCCGGUUUUUCAGUAUAUGUUUUAAAGCUGUAUUGUUAGAUACAAACUAUGUCACAUAUUUCUGGUGAAUUGUUUCUUCUAUUUUUAUGUGAUAACCCUUCAUUCUUAUCCCCAAUAAUGCUUUUUGGUUUACGAUCAAUUUGUCUGAUAUUACUAUAACGGUGCUAGCUUUCUUUGGGUUUGUAUUUAUCCACUACACCUUUUCCCAUCACUUUUUGUGCAUAUUUAUAUGUCGUUAUGUUUCAGUACGUCUCCUGCAACAGGUAUAGUUGCAUUUUCUUUGUUUAGUAUUUUUCUCCAAUCUGACAUUCUCUGUCUUUAACUGAAAUGUUUUGAUCAUUUACCUUUACUUCAAUCACUAGUAUAUUUGGAAAUAUUCCCUCCACCUUCCACUCUAUUUUCUAUUUGCUGUGUUUCUUUGCUUAUUUUUACCUUUUUCUGGCCUUAAUAAAGUUAUCUAUAUUCCCUUUUCUCUCUCUCUCUCUCUCUCUCUCUUUUUUUUAAGGCCAUUCCCUCGGCAUAUGGAGGUUCCCAAGCUAGGGGUCAAAUCGGAGCUGUAGCCACUGGCCUACACCACAGCCACAGCAAAACAGGAACCAAGCCGAGUCUGUGACCUACACCACAGCUCAUGGCAACGCCAAAUCCUUAACCCAUGGAGCGAGGCCAGGGAUCGAACUUGCGUCCUCACGGAUGCUAGUCAGAUUGGUUUCCUCUGAGCCAUGACGGGAACUCCGCCUUUUCUUUCUCUCAAGGUACAUCUUUAAGUGAAUGAAUGCUUUAGGUUAAUAAAUCAAUCAGUAUAUCUACUCUCCUCAAAAACAACUAAAGACAUUGGAACACUUCCACUCUGAUCACUCCUAUCUACAUGGUUUUAUUUGCCAGUGUUGUAGUUCCACUGUGCUUUCAUGUACCUCAAAUUAGUUCGCAUAUGGCCAGACCCCUACACUCAGAUGAAUAAAAGACUAAACAGGAGUUCCCGUCGUGGCGCAGUGGUUAACGAAUCCGACUAGGAACCAUGAGGUUGCGGGUUCGGUCCCUGCCCUUGCUUGGUGGCGUUGCGUGAGCUGUGGUGUAGGUUGCAGAUGCGGCUCGGAUUCCGCGAUGCUGUGGCUCUGGCGUAGGCUGGCGGCUACAGCUCUGAUUAGACCCCUAGCCUGGGAACCUCCAUAUGCCAUGGGAGUGGCCCAAAGAAAUAGCAAAAAGACAAAA